RNAcentral lists this ribosomal RNA (350 nucleotides) under uncultured organism. RNAcentral's name for it is "bacterial SSU rRNA". It matches the Rfam family "Bacterial small subunit ribosomal RNA", at positions 854 to 1185 of the family's 1533-position model. The record is from RNAcentral.
AACGCGUUAAGUGCACCGGCCUGGGGAGUAUGCUCGCCAAGGGGUGAAACUCAAAGGAAUUGACGGGGGCCCGCAACAAGCGGUGGAGCAUGUGGUUUAAUUCGAAUNGAUACGCGAGGAACCUUACCAGGGUUUGACAUAUGCCGGGAAAAUGUGCAGGAGACUGGCGCAGCCCUUCGGGGCCGGGUAUANCCAGGGGUGGCUGCAUGGCCGUCGUCAGCUCGUGCCGUGAGGUGUUGGGUUAAGUCCCCACGAGCGCAACCCCUACCGUCUGUUGNNCCAGCAUUCAGUUGGGGACUUCAGGCGGGAACUGCACGGGUGACAAACCGNGAGGAAGGUGGGGACGACGU